UUGAACAUACAAUAACAUCAAUACACAACAAUAUCAAUAUAACAAUAAUAUUAAUACAACAUCUCAUAAAGUGGUGUGAGACAGAGCCUCCAUUGCUCCCACGUUACCUGUAGGCCACCGCAGCUCUCUGACACCGAAGCAAAGGGAGGAGCGAAGUGAGAGAGAGAUCCACGGAUAGAUAGAUCUCUCUCUCUCUCCGUCUCUCUCCCAAUUCAACCCAAACUCAGAUCUGCUCCAUUGGCGUGAACGCCCAGGAACGGCAUCGCCAAAGCGUCACCUGCUGUCCCUCAGGUUGUGGCAUGAGGAAGUGCAUCUCCGUCUCAGCCUCACCGGUCCCACAGUGACCACAUGUUCUGUUCUCUCUUGGUUGCCAUGACUUUUUGUGUCGUCCUGGUUCAAUCUCCACUUUAUGGUCACUGAGCCUGUACUUGGUGAGGUUCUGUCUCUGCUUCAUGUCUCUGACUGUAGAGAGGUACUCUGCCAAUUCAUAGUCUCUCUCUAGGGCCAGAUCACAUUCCAGUCUGCUUUGGCCCCCAGUUUCCUCUCUCCAGUGCUCCAGUGCUUCUUUACAUCUCGCCAUGAUGUGUUUUACUCUGGUUGGUGUUUGGAGAGCCGUGUUGUUGAGAGACUGGUCCCCGUGUGUCUGAGAGGAGGCAGCUAGUCUCAGCACCAGCUGACAUAGGGGACUCUUCUCUGGGCUCAGCUCUUGGGUUCGCAGGGCUUUGGAGUGGAGGGUGUCUGGGGGGCUGGAUUUAAGGUGAUUGAAGAAUGUGAGUGCUCUCUUUUGAAUGUUAAUGAUCAGUGGGUAUCUAGUUCUGCUCUACAUGCAUUUGUUGGGGUGUUUCUGUGUAAAAUGUGUCUGCAGAAUUCUGCAUGUAGAGACUCUGUUGAUGUUUGUCCAGCGGGUAUAACUGUGAUGACUGAGUGGACCCAUACUUCACUACCAUACAGCACAAUGGGCUGGA
Molecule: long non-coding RNA, 965 nt
Organism: Anarrhichthys ocellatus (wolf-eel)
Lineage: Eukaryota; Metazoa; Chordata; Actinopteri; Perciformes; Anarhichadidae
Exons: 2
Source: RefSeq, a predicted model, not a curated record